Molecule: unclassified non-coding RNA, 329 nt
Filed under: soil metagenome
Description: partial contains 5.8S ribosomal RNA, internal transcribed spacer 2, and large subunit ribosomal RNA
Rfam family: 5.8S ribosomal RNA (bases 1-120)
Source: RNAcentral
GAUGAAGAACGCAGCGAAAUGCGAUAAGUAAUGUAAAUUGCAGAAUUCAGUGAAUCAUCGAAUCUUUGAACGCACAUUGCGCCCCCUGGUAUUCCGGGGGGCAUGCCUGUCCGAGCGUCAUUACAACCCUCAAGCUCAGCUUGGUGUUGGGCCCCGCCGCCCCGGCGGGCCCUAAAGUCAGUGGCGGUGCCGUCCGGCUCCGAGCGUAGUAAUUCUUCUCGCUCUGGAGGUCCGGUCGUGUGCUCGCCAGCAACCCCCAAUUUUUUUCAGGUUGACCUCGGAUCAGGUAGGGAUACCCGCUGAACUUAAGCAUAUCAAUAAGCGGAGGA